This is a long non-coding RNA of Cygnus atratus (black swan), 1756 nucleotides long. RefSeq lists it as uncharacterized. The transcript has 3 exons. Lineage: Eukaryota; Metazoa; Chordata; Aves; Anseriformes; Anatidae. The record is from RefSeq and is a predicted model, not a curated record.
ACUGGCUGUGGCAAUAUUCAAUUACUAGUUAUGGUCAGUCAAACCUUUACAUUUCAGUGGGAGUUUUGCAUUAAUCAGGAAUAAAGGAUCUGAAAGAUAGACUGUCACUUCUGCAGAUCCACUCUACUUCUUGCCUACGGAGACUUGAGGGAACAAAUCUUCAAAUGGAGACCAGAGUUGUAGGGAAUUUCCAUACCUGGAGAUCUUCAACACUCAGAAAAGUACCUGAGCAACCUGAUCUCACCUGUGUUGAGCUGUGUAUCUUGGACUGGAAGACCUCCACUUUGGUGUCCCUCCCAAAAUAAAAUUAAUUUAUUUAUAUCCAUGGCUGAAAACACUAUGUAUUCCUCAAAGAAAAGCAGAUUUGUUAAGAAAAAGUUUCUAAAGCUGAAGUUACAGGUAACAUCCAACAGCUCCCAGCCACCAAGAAUGGUCAUAAGCAACAUGUUAGCCCUGGACACACAUGAAAAAAAUGCAUCAGAAUUUAAGUACUGAAAGGAUUGUUCUUGGACUAGCAUGGAGGAUGUCUCUCUAUCAGCAACCAUCCUGGAUGUUUUAAGAAAUCCUGCUUCUGUGAUUGUGCUGGAGCCUGAGGUGAUCACAUUUGGGCAGGACAGUUGGAGCUGCCCUUGCCAACAAAAGGAAAAGCUGGCUCAGGGCUACCCGCAGAUGUGGUUGAUCUCUGUGGGACUGCUCCAAGCCAGGCUGCAGUUUUCUUUUCCCACAGUGAUACUGAAAUCCUGAGCAGAGGUGAACAAUGCUGAGUGGCUGGAGAGGGAAAGAUGUUGGCUCAUGAAGUCGAGGAAAAGACUUGGAAACGUUUGACAAUUUUGAUAUGAGCAUCCUGACAGCUACAAACAAUCAAAAAACUUGCCAUCUACCUCUGUUUCUUCACUUUGAGGGUUAUACUGAAAAAGAUAUGUCUUCUUUGGGAACUGACCAACAUUUUUCACAGGGAUGGGGAAAGUGCAAGGUGGAGGGAAGGCUCGUAUGAACACCACCAGCCAAACUGCAAAAAGUGUCCAAAGAAAGAAGCCAAAGAGACAGGGUUGGAAGCUUCCUUCAAACCAUUCUUUCUCCCACUCCUCGCCCUUAGCUUGGAAGACCCUGAGUAAACAGGAGCAGGACCCUGAGGUGUGCCAUGCCUGCCAGCAAACCUUGGCUGUGCCAUCCUGUGGCAGGAUGGCAGGGUUGAGACCAUCCUGCGGCCUCUCUUGAAGUUUCUGUGUUCAGGCAGAAACAAGGAUGGGUUCAGCUGUUACCACAGCUAGUUUAAAUGACUUUUUCUCAGGGGGGUGGUUGUACAGUAUCACGCGGUCCCAGAAACCCAAAGCUGAAAGGCACCUGUGUGACAGCAGUGUUGCACCCAAGCUUUUUUUUUUUUUUUUUCCUUUUUGUUUUUCUGCUUCCUAGGCACAUAUUUCCUUUGUGCCUUUGCCAGCAUACACACUCAGAAAUGCUCUCCCCAGCAGCGAUGGGAUCUCUGCUUUAUUCAGCAUGUAAGAUUCGGCCUUGCUGGCUUGCUGGUGAGAAAUUAUUCUGGUUUCUACACUACCUUGUUGGACCCAGGACUGCUGUACAGAGCUUCAUGUGCUCUUCACUGCCUCUAGUCUGGUGACCCUUUCUGUGGGUCAGUCUCAGUUCAGUUCGCUUUUUCAGCUUUCAAUUUUGCCUUUUUUCUGUUGUUUCCUGACAUGACAGAUCAUCUUUAGAUGUUCGUCCCAUACUGUGGAGCUGAUGCCACACCACUAGAGAU